RNAcentral lists this long non-coding RNA (3981 nucleotides) under Zea mays. RNAcentral describes it as "long non-coding RNA (ZMAY_LNC001619)". The record is from RNAcentral. Lineage: Eukaryota; Viridiplantae; Streptophyta; Magnoliopsida; Poales; Poaceae.
GAACCUCCCAAGUUAUUGGGCUCACAUGCACCUGCCCUUAUCUCAAAGACCUCAGACGGCUAUGCAUGUGCACCAGAUAACUUAACAGGAUCCGCUCGAGUGUCCCAAGGACCCCGGAUAAACCACUUACAACCAGGAUCGCAAGAUUAAGUAAACACAAAUCACACACCAACAUUUGCAGCAGAAUUUCUUUAUUACAAAAAGUUACAAGUUACAACAAAAUUUACAUUAUAUUUAUCGGAGUGGUUACAAAAAUAAGUGUUUCAAAAGAAUUACACUUUAAAAUGUUAUAGAAUAUUUGUAAAUUUGAAAUACAUGCUAGCUUAAGUGAUAAUCCUUAUUAAAGAAAUUAUAGAAGGGAUAUACUUAUAUAAGAAGGACGAGCCCACCGACACUUAACAUCAAUCACAAUUAAAGUGACUCGUAACCUGCAGCAACAAUGGGAAUAAAACUCUGAGUACGCAAUUACUCAGCAAGACGUACCCGACAAAAGAAAAGACUCUCAAGGGUAUGCUGGUUUGUCGGGAAUAAAGGUAAAGCUUAUCAAAUUUCAAAGACUCAUUUUUGCAGAAAAGGUUACUAGUAGUGGAUCCUUAUGCCAAAUUUUUACAUCAUAAGUUAAGUACUUUUCCUGAAUCUAGAUUUGUCGAAUCUAGAGCAUUCACUUGUCCUACACUAGCUUUCUUUUAAAAUCAAAAUUUUGUUUCGCUUGUUAUCUACGAUGAAGGGCAGCGAUCCAGUCUUCAUAUCCGAGAAGUAACGGCAAUCUGAACCGAUUAAUACCCAGCUGGCGAUCUCCAACCACACGAUAUAUGUAGCACUUAACCCUUGCAUAUGUCUACCAUUCCCACGGAUCUUCCACUACGUGAACCGGUCCGUGCCACCCGAGAGCACAGUACUCCCCAUGCAGCCUCUUGCCAGGGGGUACACGCUACUCUCACCAUCUCUCCACUCCCAGUGCGCGAUUGUCUUUUCACAUAGGGAAUAGCCGGGUUCAGGCUUACCCAUGACGAGGUAUGUGGCCAGUUAAAAGGUCCUAGAUCAUCAGGCCAACAAUCGGUACGGUCCUUAAUCGACACAGACGGGCGACCUUUCCUGCUCAACGUCUGGUCCCAUUUUAAACUAUUUCAAAACUUUGGCGCCUGACAGAGAGGCCAUGCCUGGAUAAUGAAUUUAUCAACGUCUUGAUGCCUUCAUUAUCCCAAGCCAUUUUCUUGUUAGUAAAAAACAUGAGUCAUAGAUCAAAAACAUUUUUCUUAGUCUAUCAGCAUGACUAAGCAUCUCUAGCUUUUAUAAAACAGGUGACAAGGUAUGGUAAUCAAUCUUUCAAGGAUGGUAAUGCAUCAAGUGUUUAAUCAACCAACUCCUAUCACCUAAUGCAACAUAUAAGUGAUAAAAUUUUGUAAACACAAGGGAGGUGGCAAAUGCACCGGGGCUUGCCUGGGAUAACACUAUGUUAGUGUUGUUAGAUGAUACUCGCUUGGCGAGCACCUCACAUCCUGGCACUUGGUUGACUCAUCCACUUUAGCUUCGUUUAUCAGCAUCGUCUUGUGAUCAACCCAGCUCUUGUCCUCCACAUCACGUGAUUAAUUAACGUACCUAGAUGAUAUGCAAUAAUGCAUAUGAGUAAGGACAUGAAUAGUAAUUAAUAAAUAACCUAUACUAAAGAGGGGAAACAUUUCAAGCAAGACAUCGCAAACAUUCAUAACCAAGCAUUAGAUAGAGAUACACAACCAAGCAUAAUGAUCACGUUCUCUAACUUACACGAAUUAAAUCCAAACAUCAAGAAUUAUAAAACUUGAUAUAGUUCCUAUAUUUUCUUUAGUUCAAACAUAACACCAAAAGAUUCAUCUAAAGCAUAGGGUCAUUAUUUAUACACUCCAAAUUUAGAACAAGAAUUAACCUUCUAAACCACUUUGCUAGAUGACUUGAAUUACACACCCUAUUGAAGAAGACAUCUCACUAACACAAGAUAGUACGAUGCCACACAAUAGAGAAUUUAUUACUUAAUGGUGAAGCACAAUACAACACUUCAUAUGCAACAAGUUUUCAUCAAUCAAGGAUCAAGAAUGGACUAAUCCUACCUAGUCCAAACAAGAGUGAAGUCAAGCAUUCACAUUUACAUAAUUUCUGGACAGCCGUACUAUAGUCAAUUGUUUUGCUCAUAACUCAUAAAAUAUUCAUCCUAAAAUGGUAAACUAGGACUUUCUGGAAAGCAUAUGAAGUCCUCUAUAACUUUUGUAUUACCAUCACAACAAGAUUCGAAUUUUAGAAAUGUCAAACAGUACUAAACAUAAAUUCUGUCCAGAUUUGGACAGAAUUCGACUACUCAGUUCAAAAAUUCAUAACUGGAGUCUCAGGCAUCCAAAUUAGGUGAUCCUAGACUUUUUAGAAAGCUAAUAGAAUUUUCUACAGUUCAUUUAUAAACAUCUCAGGUUAAUUCAAUGAGUAGCAUGGUCAGUUAAUACAAACAGUCUAUUCUAUCCAGAUUUGGACAGAUUCAGACUUUAUAGUUCAAACAGCUGUAACCUAAGCUAUAGAUUACCAAAAAGGGUGAUCCAAAAUUUGUUGGAAAGAUUAAUAAAAGUACUCCAAUUCUUCUAUAAUUACUAAGGGCUAAUUCUCAGUUUAACUUAAUCAAACAAUCCAAUUUUCAAAACCUGUACAGAAUUUGGACAGAUUCUGAAACUGGAUUUGGGAAAAUCAUAACUCCUAAACUACUAAACUUAUGGUCAUGACAUUUUUACACAAUCAAGAUAAAGAAGUUAUCUACAACUUUUAUAUAUCACAGUUUCAUAGAAAAUAUUAUUUGCUUCACUCAACUAUUACCACAACAAAGAGGAUGCGUGGAGCAAAAUUUCAGUUUAGGCACAAUCAAAUUUAAAUUGAUUACCUAAACAAGAUUAUGAGGAGGAGUGGAGGACCACUACUACUCAGCCCUACAUUAUCAUACUUAGUCAUAGAACUUCUAGUUACAUCAAAGCACAAUCCAAGCUGUCUAAGAAACAUACAUGGACUCAACCUCUUCUAAUCAUUUUUUUGCCUACGCAAUACCAUCCUCCGCAUCACUAAUAUACCCUACUUCGUAAACAUGGAACCAAAUCAAUCACACUCGACAUACAUGUCUUCUCAAGCACUCCUCGCAUAACUUGUAUUUCUAACAUCAACUUCACACGCAUACGAACCGUCUUAUUUCACAAUCAUGAAACCAAUAAAAAUAGUGAAUUGGCUCACCACAUCACAAUUUAACUCAAUAUUCGUACGAACGACGAUAGCCUUUGAUUGAAGUCUUCUAUCGAACAUCUGGCACUUGUCGCACAGCUUGCCUCGCCUGAUAAAUAUGAAAUUCUUCACAUCUCGCACAUUACGCACACACAUAUACAUAACAUUAGGAUCUGAUAACUUGAUUUUGGGUAUUAGUACUGGCAAGGAAUGAACACAAUGAGAAACGGGUCCUCACCGGGGUGCGAUGAGGUCACAAUAGGGCUGCACAGAUCGGAUGUAGCACGCUGCGAUAUUUUGUCGAACACGCCGAGGACGCGACACGAAGGGGCUUCAUGGCUAUUGCUGCUCCAUAUCCUUGGGCAUGUGCUGGGCACAGGGGCCAGGCUCGGCCACCAGGGAGAUGAAUGGUGUCCAGGGCGCCAUGGUUUGGGCAUCGGCUUGGAGGGCGAAAAUUGUGGCAGAGGAGAUGGGGUGCUCCUGCGCCAUGGACAUCUAGGGCUGGGCACCUGGCUGGGGAGGGAGGAGAUUGAAGAGAGGCAGCCAUGGGAGGGACGCAACAGGGAGCAAGGGCGGUCAACAGAAGGGUGAGGACGAGCGCCAAGUGCAGGACGCGGCGGUACAGAGGCUGGGCACUAUGGCGUCGGCCAGGGAGCUUUGGCAGGAGGUGGGAGACGCUAGGGCAGGGAACCUGGGCGCUAGGAAAGGAAAAGAGUUGGCCUUGAGCGCGUGAGAGACAACCUGGUGCAAUGGGAAUUC